This 493-nucleotide ribosomal RNA is filed under the name uncultured bacterium. RNAcentral's name for it is "partial 16S ribosomal RNA". It matches the Rfam family "Bacterial small subunit ribosomal RNA", at positions 30 to 523 of the family's 1533-position model. The record is from RNAcentral.
AUUGAACGCUGGCGGCAUGCUUUACACAUGCAAGUCGAACGGUAACAGGUUAAGCUGACGAGUGGCGAACGGGUGAGUAAUGCAUCGGAACGUGCCCGGUCGUGGGGGAUAACACUUCGAAAGAAGUGCUAAUACCGCAUACGAUCUGAGGAUGGAAGCGGGGGACCGUAAGGCCUCGCGCGAUCGGAGCGGCCGAUGUCAGAUUAGGUAGUUGGUGGGGUAAAGGCCCACCAAGCCGACGAUCUGUAGCUGGUCUGAGAGGACGACCAGCCACACUGGGACUGAGACACGGCCCAGACUCCUACGGGAGGCAGCAGUGGGGAAUUUUGGACAAUGGGCGCAAGCCUGAUCCAGCAAUGCCGCGUGCAGGAAGAAGGCCUUCGGGUUGUAAACUGCUUUUGUACGGAGCGAAAAGGCUCUCUCUAAUACAGGGGGCUGAUGACGGUACCGUAAGAAUAAGCACCGGCUAACUACGUGCCAGCAGCCGCAGUAA